Ictalurus punctatus (channel catfish) is the source of this 1158-nucleotide long non-coding RNA. NCBI's taxonomy places the organism in Eukaryota, Metazoa, Chordata, Actinopteri, Siluriformes, Ictaluridae. The record is from Ensembl.
UCGGUGCAGGGUUGAUGGUAGAGGUGACUCUGUGCAGGGAUGAUGGUAGAGAUGACUUAGUGCAGGGAUGAUGGUAGAGGUGAAUCAGUGCAGGGAUGAUGGUAGAGGUGACUCGGUGCAGGGAUGAUGGUAGAGGUGACUCUGUGCAGGGACGUUGGUAGAGGUGACUCAGUGCAGGGAUAAUUGUAGAGGUGACUCGGUGCAGGGAUGAUGGUAGAGGUGACUCUGUGCAGGGAUGAUGGUAGAGGUGACUCGGUGCAGGGAAGAUGGUAGAGGUGACUCUGUGCAGGGAUGAUGGUAGAGGUGACUCGGUGCAGGGAUGAUGGUAGAGAUGACUUAGUGCAGGGAUGAUGGUAGAGGUGAAUCAGUGCAGGGAUGAUGGUAGAGGUAACUCUUUGCAGGGACAUUGGUAGAGGUGACUCGGUGCGGGGAUGAUGGUAGAGGUGACUCGGUGCAGGGAUGAUGGUAGAGGUGACUCGGCGCAGGGAUGAUGGUGGAGGUGACUCGGUGCAGGGAUGAUGGUAGAGGUGACUCUGUGCAGGGACGUUGGUAGAGGUGACUCGGUGCAGGGAUGAUGGUAGAGAUGAAUCGGUGCAGGGAUAAUUGUAGAGGUGACUCGGUGCAGGGAUGAUGGUAGAGGAGACUCUGUGCAGGGACGUUGGUAGAGAUGAAUCGGUGAAGGGAUGACUGUAGAGGUGACUCGGUGCAGGGAUGAUGGUAGAGAUGAAUCAGUGCAGGGAUGAUGGUAGAGAUGAAUCAGUGCAGGGAUGAUGGUAGAGGUAUGAUGGUAGAGAUGAAUCAGUGCAGGGAUGAUGGUAGAGGUAUGAUGGUAGAGGUGACUCAGUGCAGGGAUAUUGGUAGAGGUGACUCGGUGCAGGGAUGAUGGUAGAGGUGACUCGGUGCAGGGAUGAUGGUAGAGGUGACUCUGUGCAGGGAUGAUGGUAGAGGUGACUCGGUGCAGGGAUGAUGGUAGAGGUAUGAUGGUCGAGGUGACUUGGUGCGGGGAUGAUGGUAGAGGUGACUCGGUGUAGGGAUGAUGGUAGAGGUGACUCGGUGCAGGGAUGAUGGUAGAGGUGAAUAUGUGCAGGGAUGAUGGUAAAGGUAUGAUGGUAGAGGUGACUCGGUGCAAGGACAAUGGUAGAGGUGACUCGGUGCAGG